Manacus vitellinus (golden-collared manakin) is the source of this 611-nucleotide long non-coding RNA. RefSeq lists it as uncharacterized. The transcript has 2 exons. The record is from RefSeq and is a predicted model, not a curated record. NCBI's taxonomy places the organism in Eukaryota, Metazoa, Chordata, Aves, Passeriformes, Pipridae.
GCCCGGGGGCACCUCCGUGAGGGGCCGCGUGAGGGACCCCCGGGAGGCACCGCCCGUGAGGGGCCUUCUGACGGGCUCCCCUCUGAGGGACCCCUCCCCAUGAGGGACUGGCGUCUGAGGAACCCCCACUGGGGCCCUCCAAGAGAGACCGUCUGAGAGACCCACGGGGGGACCGUGUGAGGGAGCCCCGUCUGAGGGACACCUCGUCGGACCCUCUGACAGGGACGGUGUCAGAUACGCCCUGAGGGAACCCGCGAGGGAGAACGAUGUGAGGGAUCCCUUGAGGGAUUCCCCGAGAAAACCCCUCGGGGACCUCUGAGGGAUGCCCUACCCCCCGAGUACCCCCGUGAAGGACCGUGUGAGAAACCCUCCUGAGUGACCCUGUGAAGGAGCCCGCAAGGGCUGGGCACAGCUAGGCACGCUGUGGACAUGGAGAAAUCCAGGACAAAGGAUAGCUGCACCACGGGAGGAGAAGGUCAAGAAGCGUAUGGUGCGGACUAAUGAAGAACGUUGAGGGGGUAAACUGAACUAUGAUGGAUGGCAAAAAUGGAUAGUCAAUAAAGUUUGACUCCCUCAGGAGAAAAUAAAAGUAAAAAGCUUUUUCCCUUUAA